This 2052-nucleotide long non-coding RNA is filed under the name Homo sapiens (human). Its description in RNAcentral is "HSALNT0335977". Lineage: Eukaryota; Metazoa; Chordata; Mammalia; Primates; Hominidae. The record is from RNAcentral.
AUGGUUAAUGUGACUACGAAUAAUGAGAAUUCUAACAUAGAAUACUCCCAAGCAACAUUCAGCUUUGAUUUUCCAUCUAUGCUGGAAAAUGCUAGUCAUCUCAAAUAUACCACGCUUGAAUUCCAUUUAAUUUGCAGUGUGCCUAACAUAUUACCUGAUAUUUUACCAUUAGCGGGUUUCUCUCUUGGCUAAAGGACUGUAGAGAAAGGAACAGCUACAUCUGCCUAGAGAAAUCCAUACAGAAGAGGGAAAUGCUUGUGCUGAGGCUUGAAAGAGGAGGAAACACUGGCUCCAUGAAGCCUUCAUCGACCCUCAAGGAUUGCUCCUUCCUGUCCUUUAUUUCCAUUGAUAAGAAAAAGCUGUCUGUAACUGAUUUCCAGGCCGAAGUACAAGAACAGCUUCCCACUGUCGCUAGUCUCUGGGUGCCUCAACAUCCCUUGUUUGUUUCUUUAACCUGCUUGUAACCUGUAGGCGCGGAGUUUAUUACCUGUUUUCUUGUGAGAAGACAAACUCAGAGUGGAAGAGAACUUGUCCCAGGUCACCCUUGGUGGAGGUGAGCUCAGAUCAGCCUGACCUCACAACCCAACAAGAAGCAGUGCAAGCAGGAAAUGUGUACAUUCUAUAGUCCAUUCAUCCAAGUUGACAAGAAGAAACCUCAGGCAUGAAGACAGAACAAGCAUUUCUCAACAAUACAAAGUGAUAAAGCGUCAAAAUGAGCUUCAUAUGCGUCUCUUGAGUCCUUCAUUCCAGCACCUUCUCCCAUCCCCACUCUGGAACCUUUUCCUGGAUCCUCCUCCCAGCUGGGUCUUGGUCAACUAGACAGAGGUUUGAGUUAAGGAUAGACAGAAAAGAGUGGAGGGCACUAUCGAGUUGUGGGAUUCACCACAGAGCAAAGCCAAAUUCAUAUGUGUUUUGUUUGAGUUGUAACUCGUUUUUCAAUUAUUCACAUUCCUCCUUCCCUCCAAGAGAGUGAAAGUGAACAGAAAAGGCCAAUCAUCAUUCUAGAAUUUCAUGCUGGACUGUGGAAUAAGAACUAUCCUCACUGCUUCUCUAUCACAGAUAUUACAGAUAUCAUGAGCCUUUGCUUGGCCAAAAAGUUCUAUAAGAAAAAGGAUUUUCAUUUGUGGUAGAGGUGGGUGGACAAGUUUCUUUAUCUAAGAGAAUCAUUAUUCAUCUCCAAUUAUGUACAUAAAUAUUACUGGGUAUUGUGGGGAUGUAAAGACAAAUGGUAUGGUCUCAUGCCCACAUAAAGCUUACAGAAGUAGAAAUGUUAAGAUAAAAAGUGUAGCUUUUUAAUUAGAAAAAAACCUCUUAGCCAUGCUUGCAUGUUCUUUUUGCAUUUACUGGAAAGUGAAAUCCUAAUAAUUUAGUGGGAAAGGGCAUGGUUGGGGUUUUCCACUGGCAUCCUACAAGGAAGCAUGCACAAUUUCAGACAAUACAAUCACGUUCUUCCAGCAAGAGAGAACUAGUUUGGUGCCUAAAAUUGGUUCAAGGCAAAAGUUCCUGAGAGAAAGUAAUUUGGGCAAGCCUUAGAUCAAAUCCUCAGAGACUAGCCUCCCUAGUUGUUUCAUAAUGCUUGGAGGAAAAAAAAACAUUUUCCCUCCCACUCUUCUCCUGACGGAGGUUGCUAGGAUGCCUAUGACUGGCAGCUAGAGGUAGAAGUGUCAUUGCUGCCACUGCCAUACCCUGGCUGGCUGCUAUUAUUUUGGAAGGUGAGAUGACUCCUGCCUCUGGGAUCCCUCUAGUUAUGAAAUGAUUUACUGAAAUGUUUAUUUUCAUAAUGGUAAAUGAAAUUUGUAUUCACGAAUAUGAAAUUUUUACUUCUGAAUAUGUUGUGCACCAUUUUCCAUAAACAUCUGCCUACAUCUGCUGCUGGUGUUUCUCCCACCGUUUCCUGUGGGAGGCUGCAUGCUUUUGCCUCUCUCAGCCAAAUCAUGCCAAACAGAGCCCAUUCUCCUCAAAAGUUAGCAACCAACAGUUUCACCUUGGCAGAGUAGGAACCAGCUUUUUUUUUUUUACUUCUUUUUCUUUUUGAGAUGGAGUCUUGCUCCA